This 253-nucleotide ribosomal RNA is filed under the name uncultured bacterium. Its description in RNAcentral is "partial 16S ribosomal RNA". It matches the Rfam family "Bacterial small subunit ribosomal RNA", at positions 524 to 776 of the family's 1533-position model. The record is from RNAcentral.
UACGGAGGGGGCUAGCGUUGUUCGGAAUUACUGGGCGUAAAGCGCACGUAGGCGGCUUUGUAGGUUAGAGGGGAAAGCCCGGGGCUCAACUCCGGAAUUGCCUUUAAGACUGCAUCGCUAGAACGUCGGAGAGGUAAGUGGAAUUCCGAGUGUAGAGGUGAAAUUCGUAGAUAUUCGGAAGAACACCAGUGGCGAAGGCGACUUACUGGACGACUGUUGACGCUGAGGUGCGAAAGCGUGGGGAGCAAACAGG